This 201-nucleotide long non-coding RNA is filed under the name Elaeis guineensis (African oil palm). RNAcentral describes it as "long non-coding RNA (EGUI_LNC008641)". The record is from RNAcentral. Lineage: Eukaryota; Viridiplantae; Streptophyta; Magnoliopsida; Arecales; Arecaceae.
AUCCAAUGGGAAGGAGCGUUUAAAGAAUAUGAUAUACCCAUUCCACUGAGCUUCCUCCCAACUGAACUGGGCUGAGAGCUCAUAAACCCACCCCAUAAAUUCAACCGAACGAAAGAUCCAUACUUUGAUUUGAUAUUUAUUGAACGAAACUUUCUUUGACUCGGGUCAAUCUUGGUAAAGGACAAACGAUUGAUGAAUGGG